This 229-nucleotide ribosomal RNA is filed under the name uncultured bacterium. Its description in RNAcentral is "partial 16S ribosomal RNA". It matches the Rfam family "Bacterial small subunit ribosomal RNA", at positions 118 to 347 of the family's 1533-position model. The record is from RNAcentral.
UGGGCAACCUGCCCCAGACACAGGGAUAACCCCGGGAAACCGGGGCUAAUACCGGAUACUCCGGUCGAACCGCAUGGCUCGAUCGGGAAAGCUCCGACGGUCUGGGAUGGGCCCGCGGCCUAUCAGCUUGUUGGUGGGGUAACGGCCUACCAAGGCGACGACGGGUAGCCGGCCUGAGAGGGCGACCGGCCACACUGGGACUGAGACACGGCCCAGACUCCUACGGGAG